This 725-nucleotide ribosomal RNA is filed under the name uncultured bacterium. Its description in RNAcentral is "bacterial SSU rRNA". It matches the Rfam family "Bacterial small subunit ribosomal RNA", at positions 778 to 1501 of the family's 1533-position model. The record is from RNAcentral.
UUAGAUACCCCUGUAGUCCUAGCUGUAAACGAUGGACACUAGGUGUUGGCCGUAUCGACCCGGUCAGUAUCGAAGCAAACGCGUUAAGUGUCCCGCCUGGGGAGUACGCACGCAAGUGUGAAACUCAAAGGAAUUGACGGGGGCCCGCACAAGCGGUGGAGUAUGUGGUUUAAUUCGAUGCAACGCGAAGAACCUUACCAGGGAUUGACAUCCUACGAACUUUCGUGAAAGCGAUUGGUGCCUUCGGGAACGUAGAGACAGGUGGUGCAUGGCUGUCGUCAGCUCGUGUCGUGAGAUGUUGGGUUAAGUCCCGCAACGAGCGCAACCCUCGUCCUUAGUUGCCAUCAUUAAGUUGGGCACUUUAAGGAGACUGCCGGUGACAAACCGGAGGAAGGUGGGGAUGACGUCAAGUCAUCAUGCCCCUUACAUCCUGGGCUACACACGUACUACAAUGCAACGGACAAAGGGCAGCCAACUAGCGAUAGUGAGCUAAUCCCAUAAACCGUUGCUCAGUUCAGAUUGCAGGCUGCAACUCGCCUGCAUGAAGGCGGAAUCGCUAGUAAUCGCAGGUCAGCAUACUGCGGUGAAUACGUUCCCGGGCCUUGUACACACCGCCCGUCACACCAUGGAAGUUGGCCACGCCCGAAGUCGUUACCCCAACCGUUUACGGAGGGGGACGCCGAAGGCAGGGCUGAUGACUGGGGUGAAGUCGUAACAAGGUAACC